This 366-nucleotide long non-coding RNA is filed under the name Pongo abelii (Sumatran orangutan). RNAcentral describes it as "lncRNA (ENSPPYG00000040951.1)". Lineage: Eukaryota; Metazoa; Chordata; Mammalia; Primates; Hominidae. The record is from RNAcentral.
GAGAGACAAGCACAGUUCCAGAAUGUGAAAUCGCCAUGGUAAUGCUCUUCAUAACAUACUGGCUGAGGCUGAGAAUGGCACAGGCUUAACUUUAUGGAAUAUAAGCCUCCUGCUGUUGACAUGGAAAGCCUCUGAACAUCUUUACUUGGGAGGUUGUAAAGAUGGUUAGAAAUGUCUCCUGAUCUUGGAAGUGAAGCAUUGCUUGAAACUCUCCAUUUGCCUUUUGAAGGUGACUAGUGUUUCCAUAAGACCUGGAAGACAAGACAUAAUGUGGGACACAAAGGCAGACGAAGACUUAUUGCUCAUUCUUUUUUUUUCCACUUCCUGAAAUAGACAGUCCUUCCCUUCUGAUCCAAACCCUAUUCA